AUGUCUAAUCCCACGCGCGAGGCCACGAGAGAGCAGAGGAGUAGAGGGGGUCGAAGGAAAGAAAACCACAAGGGUCGACUGCCUUUUUCUCUCCUCCUCCUCGCUGUCCUCCAUGCUACUCACCUACCACCAGAUCGAACCAGGGGAUUGAGGGGAACCAGCAGAAGAACCAGAUCGAAGGAGAGAGAGGGAGAAGAGGGUGCCGGGAGACUGGCGGUGGUGCCCGAUCCACCACGAAGCUGCCCCGAUCUUACCGGCGAUCCACCGCUCCUCUCCAAUGACGACGCUGACCUGCUGCACUUCCUCGUCUCCAACCUCAAGAUCGACCACCGCUGCUCAGCUCCAACUCCUGCUGCUGCGACCUCCCUGACCGACGAUCUCUGCCACUCCUUCUCUCUUCCUCCUCGCUGCUGA
Molecule: ribosomal RNA, 414 nt
Filed under: Triticum aestivum (bread wheat)
Lineage: Eukaryota; Viridiplantae; Streptophyta; Magnoliopsida; Poales; Poaceae
Description: partial small subunit ribosomal RNA
Source: RNAcentral